AGCUUUGCGCAGUGGCAGUAUCGUAGCCAAUGAGGUUUAUCCGAGGCGCGAUUAUUGCUAAUUGAAUAUCUGGAUAUGAGUAGAGAGAUUUCUAGGCAAGAAACCAUUGGGAAAAUAAAUAAUU
This 124-nucleotide small nuclear RNA is filed under the name Panthera tigris altaica (Amur tiger). Its description in RNAcentral is "U4 spliceosomal RNA (ENSPTIG00000001497.1)". The stretch from base 1 to 71 matches the Rfam family "U4 spliceosomal RNA". From Rfam's summary of the family: U4 small nuclear RNA (U4 snRNA) is a component of the major U2-dependent spliceosome. The structure of U4 snRNA from yeast and human has been reported. Lineage: Eukaryota; Metazoa; Chordata; Mammalia; Carnivora; Felidae. The record is from RNAcentral.